CGAGUAAAACAGUACCCCCAUGUACAGGUUUUAUAGCAUUUUUGAAAGUUACAGGGUCAAAUACAUGGGUCAAAUAUUUUUACAUUGAAAAUGGCCAGGUUGGUUACGUUGCCUUUGAGAGCGUUUGGUAGCCCAGGAAUGAGAAUUACCCCCAUGAUGGCAUACCAUUUGCAAAAGAAGACAACCCAAGGUAUUGCAAAUGGG
Molecule: long non-coding RNA, 204 nt
Filed under: Pelobates cultripes (western spadefoot toad)
Lineage: Eukaryota; Metazoa; Chordata; Amphibia; Anura; Pelobatidae
Source: RNAcentral